Molecule: ribosomal RNA, 495 nt
Filed under: uncultured bacterium
Lineage: Bacteria
Description: partial 16S ribosomal RNA
Rfam family: Bacterial small subunit ribosomal RNA
Source: RNAcentral
GACGAACGCUGGCGGCGUGCCUAAUACAUGCAAGUAGAACGCUGAAGGAGGAGCUUGCUUCUCUGGAUGAGUUGCGAACGGGUGAGUAACGCGUAGGUAACCUGCCUGGUAGCGGGGGAUAACUAUUGGAAACGAUAGCUAAUACCGCAUAAUAGUAGAUGUUGCAUGACAUUUGCUUAAAAUUUGCAAUUGCAUCACUACCAGAUGGACCUGCGUUGUAUUAGCUAGUUGGGGGGGUAACGGCUCACCAAGGCGACGAUACAUAGCCGACCUGAGAGGGUGAUCGGCCACACUGGGAAUGAGACACGGCCCAGACUCCUACGGGAGGCAGCAGUAGGGAAUCUUCGGCAAUAGACGGAAGGCUGACCGAGCAACGCCGCGUGAGGGAAGAAGGUUUUCGGAGUGUAAAGCUCUGUUGUAAGAGAAGAACGAGUGUGAGAGUGGAAAGUUCACACUGUGACGGUAUCUUACCAGAAAGGGACGGCUAACUACGUG